This is a transfer RNA of Acanthamoeba castellanii str. Neff, 72 nucleotides long. It matches the Rfam family "tRNA". Rfam says of the family: Transfer RNA (tRNA) molecules are approximately 80 nucleotides in length. Their secondary structure includes four short double-helical elements and three loops (D, anti-codon, and T loops). Lineage: Eukaryota; Discosea; Longamoebia; Acanthamoebidae. The record is from Rfam.
CGCCUCAUGGUGUAGUUGGCAGCAUAUAGGUUUCUGGUACCUGGGACCCCAGUUCAAAUCUGGGUGGGGCGA